AUUGAACGCUGGCGGCAUGCCUAACACAUGCAAGUCGAACGGAAACGAUGGGAGCUUGCUCCCAGGCGUCGAGUGGCGGACGGGUGAGUAAUGCUUAGGAAUCUACCCAGUAGCGGGGGAUAGCCCGGGGAAACUCGGAUUAAUACCGCAUACGCCCUACGGGGAAAGCAGGGGAUCUUCGGACCUUGCACUAUUGGAUGAGCCUAAGUCGGAUUAGCUUGUUGGUGAGGUAAAGGCUCACCAAGGCGACGAUCCGUAGCUGGUCUGAGAGGACGAUCAGCCACACUGGGACUGAGACACGGCCCAGACUCCUACGGGUGGCUG
This 324-nucleotide ribosomal RNA is filed under the name uncultured Pseudomonadota bacterium. RNAcentral's name for it is "bacterial SSU rRNA". It matches the Rfam family "Bacterial small subunit ribosomal RNA", at positions 30 to 351 of the family's 1533-position model. Lineage: Bacteria; Pseudomonadati; Pseudomonadota. The record is from RNAcentral.